UAGAGUUUGAUCCUGGCUCAGAUUGAACGCUGGCGGCAGGCCUAACACAUGCAAGUCGAGCGGUAACAGGACUAGCUUGCUAGUUGCUGACGAGCGGCGGACGGGUGCGUAACACGUAGGAAUCUGCCCGGUAGUGGGGGAUAGCCCGGAGAAAUCCGGAUUAAUACCGCAUACGCCCUAUGGGGGAAAGCAGGGGACCCGUUUCUUUUAUAAGGAGCGAACCUUGCGCUAUCGGAUGAGCCUGCGUCGGAUUAGCUGGUUGGUGGGGUAAAGGCCUACCAAGGCGACGAUCCGUAGCUGGUCUGAGAGGAUGAUCAGCCACACUGGGACUGAGACACGGCCCAGACUCCUACGGGAGGCAGCAGUGGGGAAUAUUGCACAAUGGGCGCAAGCCUGAUGCAGCCAUGCCGCGUGUGUGAAGAAGGCCCUAGGGUUGUAAAGCACUUUCAGCGAGGAGGAAAGGUUCAAGGUUAAUACCCUUGAGCUGUGACGUUACUCGCAGAAGAAGCACCGGCUAACUCCGUGCCAGCAGCCGCGGUAAUACGGAGGGUGCGAGCGUUAAUCGGAAUUACUGGGCGUAAAGCGUGCGUAGGCGGCUUGUUAAGUUGGAUGUGAAAGCCCCGGGCUCAACCUGGGAACGGCAUCCAAAACUGGCAAGCUCGAGUGCGGAAGAGGAGUGUGGAAUUUCCUGUGUAGCGGUGAAAUGCGUAGAUAUAGGAAGGAACACCAGUGGCGAAGGCGACACUCUGGUCUGACACUGACGCUGAGGUACGAAAGCGUGGGGAGCAAACAGGAUUAGAUACCCUGGUAGUCCACGCCGUAAACGAUGUCUACUAGUCGUCGGGGAUCUUGCAUUUCUGGUGACGCAGCUAACGCGAUAAGUACACCGCCUGGGGAGUACGGCCGCAAGGUUAAAACUCAAAUGAAUUGACGGGGG
Molecule: ribosomal RNA, 937 nt
Filed under: uncultured bacterium
Lineage: Bacteria
Description: bacterial SSU rRNA
Rfam family: Bacterial small subunit ribosomal RNA
Source: RNAcentral